GACGUAGGUGGCGAACGUUAUCCGGAAUUAUUGGGCGUAAAGGGUGCGCAGGCGGUCGGGUGUGUCAGAUGUGAAAUCCCGAGGCUCAACCUCGGAACUGCGUCUGAAACUACUCGACUAGAGUACUGGAGAGGGUAACGGAAUUCACGGUGUAGCAGUGAAAUGCGUAGAUAUCGUGAGGAACACCAGAGGCGAAGGCGGUUACCUGGACAGUUACUGACGCUCAGGCACGAAAGCAUGGGGAGCAAAAGGG
Molecule: ribosomal RNA, 253 nt
Filed under: uncultured bacterium
Lineage: Bacteria
Description: partial 16S ribosomal RNA
Rfam family: Bacterial small subunit ribosomal RNA
Source: RNAcentral